CCUACGGGAGGCAGCAGUGGGGAAUUUUGGACAAUGGGCGAAAGCCUGAUCCAGCCAUUCCGCGUGAGUGAAGAAGGCCUUCGGGUUGUAAAGCUCUUUCGCAAGGGAAGAAAACUUAGAUACUAAUAUUAUCUGAGGUUGACGGUACCUUGAUAAGAAGCACCGGCUAACUACGUGCCAGCAGCCGCGGUAAUACGUAGGGUGCGAGCGUUAAUCGGAAUUACUGGGCGUAAAGCGUGCGCAGGCGGUUUUGUAAGUCAGAUGUGAAAUCCCCGAGCUCAACUUGGGAACUGCGUUUGAAACUACAAGACUAGAAUAUGUCAGAGGGGGGUAGAAUUCCACGUGUAGCAGUGAAAUGCGUAGAGAUGUGGAGGAAUACCAAUGGCGAAGGCAGCCCCCUGGGAUAAUAUUGACGCUCAUGCACGAAAGCGUGGGGAGCAAACAGGAUUAGAUACCCUGGUAGUCCACGCCCUAAACGAUGUCUACUAGUUGUUGGUGGAGUAAAAUCCAUGAGUAACGCAGCUAACGCGUGAAGUAGACCGCCUGGGGGNGGUACGGUCGGUCGAGAGUUAAACUACGAAGAAGUAGNGGCGNGNGAGNGCGACGGACGACGACGAGGGAGGAGG
This 626-nucleotide ribosomal RNA is filed under the name uncultured bacterium. RNAcentral's name for it is "bacterial SSU rRNA". The stretch from base 1 to 544 matches the Rfam family "Bacterial small subunit ribosomal RNA", at positions 338 to 873 of the family's 1533-position model. The record is from RNAcentral.